This 72-nucleotide transfer RNA is filed under the name Mus musculus (house mouse). It matches the Rfam family "tRNA". Rfam says of the family: Transfer RNA (tRNA) molecules are approximately 80 nucleotides in length. Their secondary structure includes four short double-helical elements and three loops (D, anti-codon, and T loops). The record is from Rfam by way of RNAcentral. Lineage: Eukaryota; Metazoa; Chordata; Mammalia; Rodentia; Muridae.
GGGAGAUGGCUCAGUGUGUGAGAGUGCUUGCUUUGCAAGCAAGAGGACCUGAGUUCAAAUCCCCAACACCCA